Molecule: ribosomal RNA, 455 nt
Filed under: uncultured bacterium
Lineage: Bacteria
Description: bacterial SSU rRNA
Rfam family: Bacterial small subunit ribosomal RNA
Source: RNAcentral
UACGGGAGGCAGCAGUGGGGAAUAUUGCACAAUGGGCGCAAGCCUGAUGCAGCCAUGCCGCGUGUAUGAAAAAGGCCUUCGGGUUGUAAAGUACUUUCAGUCGUGAGGAAGGUGUUAAGGUUAAUAACCUUAGCAAUUGACGUUAGCGACAGAAGAAGCACCGGCUAACUCCGUGCCAGCAGCCGCGGUAAUACGGAGGGUGCGAGCGUUAAUCGGAAUUACUGGGCGUAAAGGGCACGCAGGCGGUUAAUUAAGUUGGAUGUGAAAUCCCCGGGCUUAACCUGGGAAUGGCAUUCAAGACUGGUUAGCUAGAGUCUUGUAGAGGGGGUAGAAUUCCAUGUGUAGCGGUGAAAUGCGUAGAGAUGUGGAGGAAUACCGGUGGCGAAGGCGGCCCCCUGGACAAAGGACUGACGCUCAUGUGCGAAAGCGUGGGGAGCAAACAGGGAUUAGAUACC